Molecule: long non-coding RNA, 378 nt
Filed under: Cricetulus griseus (Chinese hamster)
Lineage: Eukaryota; Metazoa; Chordata; Mammalia; Rodentia; Cricetidae
Description: lncRNA (ENSCGRG00000026088.1)
Source: RNAcentral
GUUCCAAGGAAGACCAGGCUCCAGUUACUUCAAACUACAUUUCCCAUGAGGACAUGCGCUGAGGCCUUGGGCUUCCCGGGUGACCAUUAGCCAAUGGGAAAGGGGAACCUGAUUUGAGAUCAAUUCUUGGAGAACACAAAGAAGUGUGGUGGUAUGUUCCAGGAUUGAACCAGCUGCCCUUUGACCCUGCCAACAACAACGAACCCCUGCAAUUUGGUAGUGCCAGUGGCCCUCUGGUCCCAGAUGGCCUCAUUGAGAAUGGAGGGGAAUCAAGCAAGAAAAGAAAGAGAACAAAUACUCCUUCAGGUAAGCUAGGUGAUAAUGCACUGUCUUAAGUCAGUGCUGUUGAGCCAGUUUUUCCCCAUAGCCUGGUAGGUU